This 429-nucleotide ribosomal RNA is filed under the name Acidobacteriota bacterium. Its description in RNAcentral is "Acidobacteria bacterium partial 16S ribosomal RNA". It matches the Rfam family "Bacterial small subunit ribosomal RNA", at positions 355 to 776 of the family's 1533-position model. Lineage: Bacteria; Pseudomonadati; Acidobacteriota. The record is from RNAcentral.
UGGGGAAUUUUGGACAAUGGGGGAAACCCUGAUCCAGCCAUCCCGCGUGUGCGAUGAAGGCCUCCGGGUUGUAAAGCACUUUUGGCAGGAAAGAAACGUCAUGGGUUAAUACCCCGUGAAACUGACGGUACCUGCAGAAUAAGCACCGGCUAACUACGUGCCAGCAGCCGCGGUAAUACGUAGGGUGCAAGCGUUAAUCGGAAUUACUGGGCGUAAAGCGUGCGCAGGCGGUUCGGAAAGAAAGAUGUAAAAUCCCAGAGCUCAACUUUGGAACUGCAUUUUUAACUACCGGGAUAGAGUGUGUCAGAGGGAGGUGGAAUUCCGCGUGUAGCAGUGAGAUGCGUAAAUAUGCGGAGGAACACCGAUGGCGAAGGCAGCCUCCUGGGAUAACACUGACGCUCAUGCACGAAAGCGUGGGGAGCAAACAGG